This 253-nucleotide ribosomal RNA is filed under the name uncultured bacterium. RNAcentral's name for it is "partial 16S ribosomal RNA". It matches the Rfam family "Bacterial small subunit ribosomal RNA", at positions 524 to 776 of the family's 1533-position model. The record is from RNAcentral.
UACGGGGGGGGCAAGCGUUGUUCGGAAUUACUGGGCGUAAAGCGCACGUAGGCGGCUUUGUAAGUUAGAGGUGAAAGCCCGGGGCUCAACUCCGGAACUGCCUUUAAGACUGCAUCGCUUGAAUCCAGGAGAGGUGAGUGGAAUUCCGAGUGUAGAGGUGAAAUUCGUAGAUAUUCGGAAGAACACCAGUGGCGAAGGCGGCUCACUGGACUGGUAUUGACGCUGAGGUGCGAAAGCGUGGGGAGCAAACAGG